RNAcentral lists this transfer RNA (67 nucleotides) under Geotomus sp. FS-2019. RNAcentral's name for it is "tRNA-Ser". Lineage: Eukaryota; Metazoa; Arthropoda; Insecta; Hemiptera; Cydnidae. The record is from RNAcentral.
AGUCAAUAAGUUUUAAUAAACUUGUAUUUUGAAAAUACAGAAUGAAAGUUAAACCUUUCAUUGACUU